GUUAGAAAUACCACAGAUGGAACAAGGAGGAAGCAUCGGUAAAGAUCACUUCAUGCUGACAGAGGCAUAAAGGUAAAGCGGCGUGAUCUUCAGGUAAUGCAUACAUGUUUUCACAGUGGAAAUCGAGCGUUUUGAUUUUAUUUUAUUUUUUUAACUCUCGUGGAUCUGCAGCCUUCAGUGGGAUCCGUGAAAACGAGAGACGGCAAAGGAAACCGCUGGGAAGGAAUGAGCGGACAGACGACCGCCCCACAGCUUUUCACAGGAGACCUAAAUUCAGGAGUGACCUCCCAAGAUCUCAUCCAGGUUUAUGUCCUUCAUCCAGUCGUCAUUUCCAGAACCAGAUUUCAGCAGAGCGUCGAUGAAGUCGGAGUCGGCGUUGAUGCCGGGGACCGUGUUGUCUCCCUCGGGGAGAAAGUCAAACGUCAGACGGUUCGGUCUGCUGCUUUGGUAACCGUUGGAGCUCGGACUGGACUCCUGGAAGUUUCCUGCGGGUACCCUCUGCUCGGGCGACACCUGGUUCAGGUUCCCCACAGGAGACGGUGAGCUCAUUAUGGCUGGGUGGGACCUGGGGGCCGUCUCCCUCACCGAGGGGUUCAGCGGGAGCAUGCCCAGGUCUGGCGCCACCUGGUUGGGAGGGCCCACGUGCCUCUGCGCGUACGGGUGGUUUGGCAUGUCCUGCACACCUUGCGGCGUGGGGAGACACCUGAGACCGAGUCCAGCGGUCACUUGCUUGUUGGCAGAACCCCAACCAAUGGUGGCGUUCGUCAUCAGGCCCUGUCCGGCGCCUCCGGAGGAAUGCAGGUCCGCCGUCGCCCUCUGGUGCUGAACACCCGCCGCGCUGUUCAUCCUGAACGACUUUCCCGGAGGGUUGGGACCCAGGAACCUGGGCCUGCUUUGGUUCAGUCCGACGCGGUUGUGGAUGCUGUGCUGGAACUGGUUGACGCAGGAGGAGGGCGGACAGUCUGCCGCCAUCGGUCCGCCCAUCUUUGCUGUGGAGACGUUUCGAAGGUGACAGGACAGCGACUGUAAACUGUUCUCGCCUGGAGGCUGGGAGGAGCUUUGCCCUGCGGAGACCGAAACUGUCAGGAGGAUUCUAGAGAAGGAAAACGAACGCCGAGCUGGGCGCAGGAACACCAACCUGUGAAGAUACUUCCUGGCUGAACUCCCACCAAGCCUCUGGACUGCUUGUAAUCCGGCGGGGGUCUCGUUAGAUGGCGGCUGAACUGAUCACAGGCGUUGUCUUUAUCCUAAAAAAAACCCAAACAAUUAAUAUCACUGAGGUAAACAUGAAUCAAGGGUUUUUUCAAGGCCGCUUACUGCACUGCCGAUGGAGUGCUGCUGCUGCUGCUGCUGGCUCAGCUGUCUGGGAACUGUCUGGGUUUUGGCCGGACCCUUCUGCUGGUUGUUGGGCGCCG
This 1415-nucleotide long non-coding RNA is filed under the name Oryzias sinensis (Chinese medaka). Its description in RNAcentral is "lncRNA (ENSOSIG00000003618.1)". Lineage: Eukaryota; Metazoa; Chordata; Actinopteri; Beloniformes; Adrianichthyidae. The record is from RNAcentral.